RNAcentral lists this ribosomal RNA (403 nucleotides) under uncultured bacterium. Its description in RNAcentral is "partial 16S ribosomal RNA". It matches the Rfam family "Bacterial small subunit ribosomal RNA", at positions 28 to 526 of the family's 1533-position model. The record is from RNAcentral.
GACGAACGCUGGCGGCGUGCCUAAUACAUGCAAGUCGAACGCAGUGGGGACGGGUGAGUAACACGUGGGUAACCUCCCAUCAGAGGGGAUAACACUUGGAAACAGGUGCUAAACCGAUACUGAUGGAUGGACCCGCGGUGCAUUAGCUAGUUGGUGAGGUAACGGCUCACCAAGGCCACGAUGCAUAGCCGCCCUGAGAGGGUGACCGGCACCACUGGGACUGAGACGCGGCCCAGACUCCUACGGGAGGCAGCAGUGGGGAAUCUUCGGCAAGGGACGAAAGUCUGACCGAGCCAUGCCGCGUGAGUAAAGAAGGUUUUCGGAUCGUAAACCUCUGUUGUUAGAGAAGCGGUAUCUAACCAGAAAGCACCGGCUAACUCCGUGCCAGCGGCCGCGGUAAUAC